AACACAUGCAAGUCGAACGGUAACAGGAAGCAUCUUGCUGCUUCGCUGACGAGUGGCGGACGGGUGAGUAAUGUCUGGGAAACUGCCUGAUGGAGGGGGAUAACUACUGGAAACGGUAGCUAAUACCGCAUAAUGUCGCAAGACCAAAGAGGGGGACCUUCGGGCCUCUUGCCAUCGGAUGUGCCCAGAUGGGAUUAGCUUGUUGGUGGGGUAACGGCUCACCAAGGCGACGAUCCCUAGCUGGUCUGAGAGGAUGACCAGCCACACUGGAACUGAGACACGGUCCAGACUCCUACGGGAGGCAGCAGUGGGGAAUAUUGCACAAUGGGCGCAAGCCUGAUGCAGCCAUGCCGCGUGUAUGAAGAAGGCCUUCGGGUUGUAAAGUACUUUCAGCGGGGAGGAAGGGAGUAAAGUUAAUACCUUUGCUCAUUGACGUUACCCGCAGAAGAAGCACCGGCUAACUCCGUGCCAGCAGCCGCGGUAAUACGGAGGGUGCAAGCGUUAAUCGGAAUUACUGGGCGUAAAGCGCACGCAGGCGGUUUGUUAAGUCAGAUGUGAAAUCCCCGGGCUCAACCUGGGAACUGCAUCUGAUACUGGCAAGCUUGAGUCUCGUAGAGGGGGGUAGAAUCCCAGGUGUAGCGGUGAAAUGCAUAGAGAUCUGGAGGAAUACCGGUGGCGAAGGCGGCCCCCUGGACGAAGACUGACGCUCAGGUGCGAAAGCGUGGGGAGCAAACAGGAUUAGAUACCCUGGUAGUCCACGCCGUAAACGAUGUCGACUUGGAGGUUGUGCCCUUGAGGCGUGGCUUCCGGAGCUAACGCGUUAAGUCGACCGCCUGGGGAGUACGGCCGCAAGGUUAAAACUCAAAUGAAUUGACGGGGGCCCGCACAAGCGGUGGAGCAUGUGGUUUAAUUCGAUGCAACGCGAAGAACCUUACCUGGUCUUGACAUCCACGGAAGUUUUCAGAGAUGAGAAUGUGCCUUCGGGAACCGUGAGACAGGUGCUGCAUGGCUGUCGUCAGCUCGUGUUGUGAAAUGUUGGGUUAAGUCCCGCAACGAGCGCAACCCUUAUCCUUUGUUGCCAGCGGUCCGGCCGGGAACUCAAAGGAGACUGCCAGUGAUAAACUGGAGGAAGGUGGGGAUGACGUCAAGUCAUCAUGGCCCUUACGACCAGGGCUACACACGUGCUACAAUGGCGCAUACAAAGAGAAGCGACCUCGCGAGAGCAAGCGGACCUCAUAAAGUGCGUCGUAGUCCGGAUUGGAGUCUGCAACUCGACUCCAUGAAGUCGGAAUCGCUAGUAAUCGUGGAUCAGAAUGCCACGGUGAAUACGUUCCCGGGCCUUGUACACACCGCCCGUCACACCAUGGGAGUGGGUUGCAAAAGAAGUAGGUAGCUUAACCUUCGGGAGGGCGCUUACCACUUUGUGAUUCAUGACUGGGGUG
Molecule: ribosomal RNA, 1442 nt
Filed under: uncultured bacterium
Lineage: Bacteria
Description: bacterial SSU rRNA
Rfam family: Bacterial small subunit ribosomal RNA
Source: RNAcentral